Molecule: ribosomal RNA, 460 nt
Filed under: uncultured bacterium
Lineage: Bacteria
Description: partial 16S ribosomal RNA
Rfam family: Bacterial small subunit ribosomal RNA
Source: RNAcentral
CCUACGGGUGGCAGCAGUGAGGAAUAUUGGUCAAUGGACGAGAGUCUGAACCAGCCAAGUAGCGUGAAGGAUGACUGCCCUAUGGGUUGUAAACUUCUUUUAUAUGGGAAUAAAGUUCCUUAUGUAUACCGUUUUGUAUGUACCUUAUGAAUAAGGAUCGGCUAACUCCGUGCCAGCAGCCGCGGUAAUACGGAGGAUCCGAGCGUUAUCCGGAUUUAUUGGGUUUAAAGGGAGCGUAGGCGGACGGUUAAGUCAGUUGUGAAAGUUUGCGGCUCAACCGUAAAAUUGCAAUUGAUACUGGGUGUCUUGAGUGCAGUAGAGGUAGGCGGAAUUCGUGGUGUAGCGGUGAAAUGCUUAGAUAUCACGAAGAACUCCGAUUGCGAAGGCAGCUGACUGAACUGUAACUGACGCUGAUGCUCGAAAGUGUGGGUAUCAAACAGGAUUAGAUACCCGGGUAGUC